AUAAAGGUUUGGUCCUAGCCUUAUAGUUAAUUAGAGGUAAGAUUACACAUGCAAAUAUCCAUAAACCAGUGUAAAAUCCCUUAAACAUUUGCAUUAAAUUUUAAGGAGAGGGUAUCAAGCACAUAAAAUAGCUUAAGACACCUUGCCAAGCCACACCCCCACGGGACCCAGCAGUGAUAAACAUUAAGCAAUAAACGAAAGUUUGACUAAGCUAUACCUCUCAGGGUUGGUAAAUUUCGUGCCAGCCACCGCGGUCAUACGAUUAACCCAAACUAACUAUACUCGGCGUAAAACGUGUAAACUAACCACAACAAAAUAGAACUAAAACCUAACCAAUAUGUGAAAAUUCAUCGUUAAACCAAAAUUCAACCACGAAAGUAAUUCUAGUACAAACUGUUACACGAUAGCUAAGGCCCAAACUGGGAUUAGAUACCCCACUAUGCUUAGCCAUAAACCUAAAUAAUUACACAACAAAAUUAUUUGCCAGAGAACUACUAGCCACAGCCUAAAACUCAAAGGACCUGGCGGUACUUUAUAUCCAUCUAGAGGAGCCUGUUCUAUAAUCGAUAAACCCCGCUCUACCUCACCAUCCCUUGCUAAUUCAGCCUAUAUACCGCCAUCUUCAGCAAACCCUAAAUAAGGCACCAAAGUAAGCACAAAAAUCAAACAUAAAAACGUUAGGUCAAGGUGUAGCCAAUGAGAUGGAAAGAAAUGGGCCACAUUUUCUUCGUAAGAAAACACGAAACCCUUUAUGAAACUAAAGGACCAAGGAGGAUUUAGUAGUAAAUUAAGAAUAGAGAGCUUAAUUGAAUAGAGCAAUGAAGUACGCACACACCGCCCGUCACCCUCCUCAAACUAAGUUUACCUAACAAUAAAUAAUACAAAGACAUAACUUAUGAGAGGAGAUAAGUCGUAACAAGGUAAGCAUACUGGAAAGUGUGCUUGGAAUAAU
RNAcentral lists this non-coding RNA (952 nucleotides) under Solomys ponceleti (Ponceleti's Solomys). Lineage: Eukaryota; Metazoa; Chordata; Mammalia; Rodentia; Muridae. The record is from RNAcentral.